CUUGGCGGCCAUAGCGCUCUGGACCCACCCCUUCCCAUCCCGAACAGGACCGUGAAACAGAGUUGCGCCGAUGAUAGUGCAUACUUCAUGUGCGAAAGUAGGUCACCGCCAGGCUCCCCUUACAACACCCCAGCUACCUCGUGGCUGGGGUGUUU
This 155-nucleotide ribosomal RNA is filed under the name Azospira oryzae. The record is from RNAcentral. Lineage: Bacteria; Pseudomonadati; Pseudomonadota; Betaproteobacteria; Rhodocyclales; Rhodocyclaceae.